This 708-nucleotide long non-coding RNA is filed under the name Bos mutus (wild yak). Its description in RNAcentral is "lncRNA (ENSBMUG00000001315.1)". The record is from RNAcentral. Lineage: Eukaryota; Metazoa; Chordata; Mammalia; Artiodactyla; Bovidae.
AUGGACUCCAUUCUUCAGUCACGGCCACAGGUGCUUUCCAGCUCUCAAGAGCGCCUUCUCCUUUCCCUAUGCCCUGGACCUCUUCCUUUGUUGUUCACGGACUGCAGCGUGCCAGGCUUUCCCCAUGUACCUCUUCCUACGUUAACAUUAAAAAAGAAAACACAGAACACAAGUCCACAGACUACUAACAAGAGCUACCAGAGAUGUUUACUUCAAAAACACUUGGAAACUUAGAAUCAGCAUUGCUUGUCCUGCUUCAGUCAGAAUGCCCAGGAAAAGGCUGAUGGUUUGUAUUUCUUCCUGGCUUACUCCUGCCCAUCCGUGUCAGCAACAUGCUAUUUCUGCUGGGUGAAAAACUGUCAACCGUCCCCAGGGGCUCAGCAUCCCCAGGGCCAGUGAGACCCCAGUAGCCUUCCUUCUGGGUGGAACAGAUCUGAAAGGGCUCCUAUCUAUCCUUUAACCUGAGUGACGAAUGCCUUUAAUUGCUGAUCAGAAAAUGGGCUUUUCCUGAAGGCUCCUGAAAUGCAGGAGACAGAGAUGCAGGUUCGAUUGCUGGGUCAGGAAGAUCCACUGGAGGAGGAAACGGUAACCCACUUCAGUAUUCUUGCCUGGGAAAUUCCAUGGACAGAGGAGGCUGGCAGGCUUCAACUCAAAGAGAGUCAGGCACGACUGAGCGACUAAGCAUGGGAAAUGCUGACAUGCAACUAA